UACGUAGGGUGCAAGCGUUAAUCGGAAUUACUGGGCGUAAAGCGUGCGCAGGCGGUUGGGCAAGACCGAUGUGAAAUCCCCGGGCUUAACCUGGGAAUGGCAUGGGUGACUGCUCGGCUAGAGUGAGUCAGAGGGGGGUAGAAUUCCACGUGUAGCAGUGAAAUGCGUAGAGAUGUGGAGGAAUACCGAUGGCGGAGGCAGCCCCCUGGGAUGACACUGACGCUCAUGCACGAAAGCGUGGGGAGCAAACAGG
Molecule: ribosomal RNA, 253 nt
Filed under: uncultured bacterium
Lineage: Bacteria
Description: partial 16S ribosomal RNA
Rfam family: Bacterial small subunit ribosomal RNA
Source: RNAcentral